CAUGUCUUUUUGAAUUUAAUAUAAAGUCUAAUCUGCUCAAUGAUGAAUUAAAUUGCCGCAGUAUUUUAACUGUGCAAAGGUAGCAUAAUAAUUAGCUUUUUGAUUAGAAGCUGGAAUGAAUGAUUGGACGAGAAUAUAACUGUCUCUUUUUAAAUUUUUAUUGAAUUUUAUUUUUAAGUUAAAAAGCUUAAAUUUUUAUAAAAGACGAGAAGACCCUAUAGAGUUUAAUAUAUUUUAGUUAUUAUUUUUUAGAAAAUUUUUUAAUUAUUUUAUAUUUAGUUGGGGUGACUUAAAGAUUAAAUAAAUUCUUUAAAUUUUAAAUUGAUGAUAAUUAAUUUUAGUAUCUAAAUUUUUUAAAUUUAAAAUAAAUUACCUUAGGGAUAACAGCGUUAUUUUUCUUUAAAGCUCAUAUUGAAAGAAAAGUUUGCGACCUCGAUGUUGGAUUAAAAUAAAUUUUUGGUGCAGUAACUUAAAAAUUUGGUCUGUUCGACCUUUAAUAUUUUACAUGAUCUGAGUUUAAACCGGUGUAAGCCAGGUUGGAUUCUAUCUUUAGAAUUUAAAUAUAUUUUAGUACGAAAGGACCAGAUAUAUAUUAUAUAUUAAUUG
This 606-nucleotide ribosomal RNA is filed under the name Calopteron sp. UPOL A00645. RNAcentral's name for it is "partial 16S ribosomal RNA". The stretch from base 380 to 538 matches the Rfam family "Bacterial large subunit ribosomal RNA", at positions 2473 to 2632 of the family's 2925-position model. Lineage: Eukaryota; Metazoa; Arthropoda; Insecta; Coleoptera; Lycidae. The record is from RNAcentral.